GAUGAACGCUGGCGGCGUGCCUAAUACAUGCAAGUCGAGCGAACGGACGAGAAGCUUGCUUCUCUGAUGUUAGCGGCGGACGGGUGAGUAAUACGUGGAUAACCUACCUAUAAGACUGGGAUAACUUCGGGAAACCGGUGCUAAUACCGGAUAUACUUUUCACCGGCAGGUUCAAAAGAUGAAGGCGGCCUUGCCGUUUCCUUUAGACGGAUCCGCCCUGCCUUAGCUACGUGGGUAAGUAACGGCCUUCCAAGGCAACGUAGCAUUGCCGACCUGGGGGGGGGAUCGGCCACACAGAACCUGAGACACGUUCCAGACUCCUACGGGGGGCAGCAGUGGGAAAUUUUCCGCAAUGGGCGAAAGCCUGACGGAGCAACGCCGCGUGAGUGAUGAAGGUCUUCGGUUCGUAAAACUCUGUUAUGAGGGAAAAACAUAUGUGUAAGUAACUGUGCACAUCUUAACGGUACCUAAUCAGAAAGCCACGGCGAACUACGU
RNAcentral lists this ribosomal RNA (495 nucleotides) under uncultured bacterium. Its description in RNAcentral is "partial 16S ribosomal RNA". It matches the Rfam family "Bacterial small subunit ribosomal RNA", at positions 28 to 506 of the family's 1533-position model. The record is from RNAcentral.